AUUGAACGCUGGCGGCAGGCCUAACACAUGCAAGUCGAACGGCAGCACAGAAGAGCUUGCUCUUUGGGUGGCGAGUGGCGGACGGGUGAGUAAUGUCUGGGAAACUGCCCGAUGGAGGGGGAUAACUACUGGAAACGGUAGCUAAUACCGCAUAACGUCGCAAGACCAAAGUGGGGGAACUUCGGGCCUCAAACCAUCGGAUGGGCCCAGAUGGGAUGAGAUAGUAGGUGGGGUAAUGGCCCACCUAGGCGACGAUGCCUAGCUGGUCUGAGAGGAUGACCAGCCACACUGAAACUGAGACACGGUCCAGACUCCUACGGGAGGCAGCAGUGGGGAAUAUUGCACAAUGGGCGCAAGCCUGAUGCAGCCAUGCCGCGUGUAUGAAGAAGGCCUUCGGGUUGUAAAGUACUUUCAGCGGGGAGGAAGGCGGUGAGGUUAAUAACCUUGCCGAUUGACGUUACCCGCAGAAGAAGCACCGGCUAACUCCGUGCCAGCCGCCGCGGUAA
This 506-nucleotide ribosomal RNA is filed under the name uncultured bacterium. RNAcentral's name for it is "partial 16S ribosomal RNA". It matches the Rfam family "Bacterial small subunit ribosomal RNA", at positions 29 to 523 of the family's 1533-position model. The record is from RNAcentral.